CUACGGCGGCAGCAGUGGGGAAUAUUGGACAAUGGGCGAAAGCCUGAUCCAGCCAUGCCGCGUGUGUGAAGAAGGCCUUCGGGUUGUAAAGCACUUUCAGUGGGGAAGAAAGCCUUGGGGCUAAUACCCUCGAGGAAGGACAUCACCCACAGAAGAAGCACCGGCUAACUCCGUGCCAGCAGCCGCGGUAAUACGGAGGGUGCGAGCGUUAAUCGGAAUUACUGGGCGUAAAGCGCGCGUAGGCGGUCUGAUAAGCCGGUUGUGAAAGCCCCGGGCUCAACCUGGGAACGGCAUCCGGAACUGUCAGGCUAGAGUGCAGGAGAGGAAGGUAGAAUUCCCGGUGUAGCGGUGAAAUGCGUAGAGAUCGGGAGGAAUACCAGUGGCGAAGGCGGCCUUCUGGACUGACACUGACGCUGAGGUGCGAAAGCGUGGGUAGCAAACAGGAUUAGAUACCCUAGUAGUC
RNAcentral lists this ribosomal RNA (463 nucleotides) under Vreelandella stevensii. Its description in RNAcentral is "partial 16S ribosomal RNA". It matches the Rfam family "Bacterial small subunit ribosomal RNA", at positions 339 to 795 of the family's 1533-position model. The record is from RNAcentral. Lineage: Bacteria; Pseudomonadati; Pseudomonadota; Gammaproteobacteria; Oceanospirillales; Halomonadaceae.